UACGAAGGGUGCAAGCGUUACUCGGAAUUACUGGGCGUAAAGCGUGCGUAGGUGGUUUGUUAAGUCUGAUGUGGAAGCCCUGGGCUCAACCUGGGAACUGCAUUGGAUACUGGCAAGCUAGAGUGCGGUAGAGGGUGGUGGAAUUCCCGGUGUAGCAGUGAAAUGCGUAGAGAUCGGGAGGAACAUCUGUGGCGAAGGCGACCGCCUGGACCAGCACUGACACUGAGGCACGAAAGCGUGGGGAGCAAACAGG
This 253-nucleotide ribosomal RNA is filed under the name uncultured bacterium. Its description in RNAcentral is "partial 16S ribosomal RNA". It matches the Rfam family "Bacterial small subunit ribosomal RNA", at positions 524 to 776 of the family's 1533-position model. The record is from RNAcentral.